Athalia rosae (coleseed sawfly) is the source of this 7761-nucleotide long non-coding RNA. RefSeq lists it as uncharacterized. The transcript is spliced from 2 exons. NCBI's taxonomy places the organism in Eukaryota, Metazoa, Arthropoda, Insecta, Hymenoptera, Athaliidae. The record is from RefSeq and is a predicted model, not a curated record.
UUGGGACGAAGGUGAGCAAAAGGAAAAAAAAAAAAAAGAAAAAACACAGAGAGAAUAAAAAAAAAUGGCGUACACGAGAGGAGCAAAAUGGCAUAUGGGCUAGAUGAGGACGGUAUAUUUCCGCGUUGAUUCACGCGAUCGAAAUUAUUCGAGAAGCCAAACUGUCUAUGGGCGGUGUUGUAUAUUAUACGGACACGUGGGUACCCAGCUAGCUGCCUACACAACAUCCAUACCUAUCUUUUAAUCGUCCAAUCAUUCGCUCCCGGGAUAAUUAUGUUACUAAUUAUCUAGGUAACUAUUAACUCGCGCUAUAGGGUUUAUUUCUCGUAUGCACAUAGUUAUCCAUAUACAUACGUACACCGAUAUACAUGUGAAAAUAUUCCCGCUUAUGUGUGUACGUGUAUGUGUGUAUAUGUGUGUGUACGUAUAGCUACCUUUCCGCCGAUUUAUACCGGUGGUAAUGACGGCCGUAGGCUACCAUACGGUAAUACGCGUAUGGUGUUCCGCGCGAGCUGAUGGUAUCGUCUAAUCGGAAGACGUGAAUUCUCGAGAGAAUAUUAUUCGCGUGUGUCUUCUUCUGUAGACACUGCGAGACGUGGAUAGCUUUAUUUUACAGAUGGUAAUUUAAAAUUGAUAGAAUAAAAAAGGAGGGACGUACAGAGGUGUACGAGCUCCCAUAUGUGCGGUUUAUCGCGGAUCUUGAAACGCUAUCAAAGUCACGCUAUUCCUUUUCGCCUUUCACCCCGGAUGUGGGUCGUGGCCGACGCGGACUUUGGUCUCAUCCCCACAGCGAUCAGAAGUGAGAGCGCCGCGCGGCGGUGCGAAAGAAGAAAGUUUUGUGAAAGUAGCUCGCGAUAUUACGAACCUCGUUCAUAUACACGCGAACACGCGCGUAGGGUGUGCGUAUUUCGAUCUCGAUCUCUCUCUCUCUCUCUCUCCCUCUUUUUCUUAACCGUGCGAACCCGCAAAGACACCUUGACACUGCGCCACAUUCGCUCGGUCAUCGCGUUACCCGUUUCGUUUGCUUUCCUCCUUUUUUUCGUCCGCACAUUUUUCCUACCGUCGUCGUUCGUCGACUUUUUUUUUUUUUAUUUGCUUUUGCUUUUUCUCUAGCGCCGUUCGCUUUUCCAUCGCGGCGAAACUUUCUUUCGUCGAAGCGCUGGUCCCCUCCCCCUCCCCCUCCCCCCCGUAAUCGAACGUGACCGUACGUAGAACGCGAUCGGACACCAGGAAGCGGAACUCGUCCCCGCGUUUAUAUUUAAAACGAAAUAAAAUGCGUCACACCCCGCCAAUUCGGAACUUCGUUCGAAAAUUCUCGCGUGUGUUUUGAUUCCCGGUCAUUGAUAUUGCGGAGCAAUUUUUUACGGUGGGGGUAUUCGAAACAGCUUCCGAAAUUCUUCGCUAGAAACGCCGUGAAUACGUAGGUAUGUACGUUACUUUUUUUUUUUUUUCUUUUUCUUCUUCUUCUCUCCAUGAAUCGGAAUAACACGGAUUACGAAAUUAUCGAUAGUUGCGCGUUUGGAUCCCGCGGGCGCCAAAUAAUGUAAUCUGUCCGAAAAUUUGCAUCUCGAAUACAUUCGAUUUUUUCUCUUCUUUUUUUACUUUUUUUUUUCUUCGCGCUAUCAAUUUCGGUUAGGACCGCUUAGAAAUGCCGUUCCCAGGCUCGGCCAGCGGCUGCCAGUUUCUGUGACCCGAGAGUUUGAAAUAUUCCUACUGCAAAUGUUACAAAAUGAUCCGACGAAUAACGAGUCGACCGUAUCGAGUAUACGCGACGCAUUUCCCUUUCAGCGCGGCGCGAAUUAUCGACUGUAUGGAAAUACGCGUUGAAUUCGAAAAAGCAUCCGAUCCUUGACUUAAGGUCACGGCUGUCGUAUUGUAAUAACGUAAUACGCAACGACAAAUGCAGUAUAAUUUCUAUAAUCCACACUUCGAUUACCGAACAGACGGUACAGUGUACGUGCGUGCGGCUCACAAGCCGUCGAUGAUAAAGAAAUAAAUAAGACGAGAGAAAAUAAGACAAUGAAGAAAAAACGAAGGAAGGAUGCCACGACGAUCAUCUGGGCGUCGAGGACAUCGUCGCGUCGCGUCGUGACGCCCUCCCCCUCCCCUCUAUCUCCCUCUUCUCUCUGCGUCUUUCGCGGUAUCGCGUCACCUUAAUUGGCCGCGCACCUCCUGGUCCAGAAAACAAUAAUCGGCUGAAAAGGAACUCCGCUCAUUAAUCAAAUUAUUUCGUUCGAUUUUCGUUGCGUCGUACCGAUACGACGACACUUAUUCUGGACGAUACUCGACGUCGAUUCAACUUCGUACUGAAACGCUCGCCUUCCGACUCUACGUCGAUGUAAUAAUACGACGUCGAUGUAUCGCCGAUGGAACACGCUCCCUGUAUCUACACAACCGGCCGGUUACUCUCCGAUUUGGACGAUGCGGGUUAGGUUUGCCUUUGCUCGACGGUGGCCUCCGGUCAACGCUCCUAACCCGGCUGACUCGCCUAUCCUAUAGACACUUCGCAUAGCCGGCCGGAACGACUCUCGACAGUUUGUGGAGCUCCGCCGAAAUCAGAGGGGGCCCGGGCCCAUCACCACCACCACCGCCACCAUCACCACCACCACCGCCGCCGCCGCUUCGCUCUUUUCCUCCGCGUUUACAGUCAUCCGAAGACCUAACCAGUCCUCCGUCCAUCCGUCCGUCCGUCCGUCCGUCCGUCCGUCCGUAUUUCUUCUUCGUCCGCCCGCGAAUUAUAAUGGACCUCUUUCACUCCCCGGAGAUAUACCGACCCGCCACACCAGAUGCCGACUUUUGACGCUGCUCCUAUACUAUUCUCUUACACCUACAAUAUAAAAGCGAACAUACUCGAUAUACGUAUAGAUAUAUAGAUACACGUAUACUCGGCGAUCGUUUUAUGCCCGGAGGCAGCCUGGAAUCGCGAGGCACCUCGAUAGAUCCUAACUCUGCGCUAUCGGAUUAUGUACCAGGGGUAUUAAAACGAGACUCCGAAAUUUUAUGGGCGGCAGAGGAGGGGGGGGGAGGAAGGGAUCCGAUCGACGAUCGUUACGAAGUAACCGAAGGUAUCGCGUCAUUUCAUUAAUUGCGCAAGUUCGACGAUUGUCGCACGUGUGAUCAGCGAUCGGUGAGAAUCACGCCGAUGAAACGCAGGAGCGGUAUCAACGUCCGCCGAACGCCGAAAAUGUUUCAGGAGCGUCAGGAGUGAAUCGGGACGCCUUUUGGCCGUCGCCACAUAAUGACGUCAUCGUCGAAAGACGAGUCAUCCGUUCUCCGGGAAUGCCUCUGAUGCGUAUAACCUACCCCACUUUCCCUUGGACCGUUUCAGCUGAAUCAACGCUUUCUAUUACGGUGAACGAGAGAGUACGUGUGUACGUAUAUACAGUUACGAAACUGAAAUCUAAAAAUUCAAAAAAAAAAAGACGCCAUUCGAAUCGCGAGAGGCUUGUAAAAAUCCACGCAAAAUUCGACAAUGUUCUCCGAGUAUUUCGAUCGUAUCCCGUGGGAUUCUUGUCGCCCGACUGAAUGCUGCAGAAGUAGAAAGAGAGAGAGACGUAUCCGUAGGUUUACAAUAGGAUCGGAAGGCGGGUGGGAUAAAUCGAAAUUCGAUCGAGUUCGGGCACGUUCAUCGGUAGGAGCUGGUUCGGGAAGGGUGAAUGCCCGACCUAGAGGCCCGGCCCCGCGUUCGCCGCGGUGUGGUCAGGUCAGGGAAAGAUCGAGGAAGAACAUUGCCACGGUGGCACACGGCGCCUCGGGGUACGAGAUGGAGACCCGCGACGCCGUGAUCUUCGAUUGUUCUCCGACGUGACAUCGCGCCCCCCUCGCCCCCCUCGCCCCACCUGAGAAAAGACGACGACGACGACAGUUGGCGAAAUCGUCGGAGACUUUUUUCUUUUCUUUUCUGUUUUUUUUUUUUUGUUUUUUUCAUUCACCGCGCACGAAUCGAUCGCGACUCGUCCGAUAUCGUCGAGGAUAUCGGAACGAGGUGUUCGAUCUCCGCGCGUUUCGGUUCACGAUUGUAAAGCGUUGAGAUAUGUUGCAACCGUUUGUUCGUAACGAACCAAGUUCGUAUCUCAUGUACGCCACCGUUACGAGCUAAGGUUGGACGUAUCGUACGAUGUGCAGCCUUCCGCGCACGUGGGACUUUGAGCUUUGCUUGCCCAAUAUCGUAUUCUCGGUAGCUUCCCGAGUCUACUUUCGUAGCCGCCGCUGCACACGAUGAACACGAGCGUCCCGACGCGUAUCGGACGUCGAGUUCCUCGCGGUGCCGAAAAGAAGGGCCCUCGAGUCGAAUCGGGAGGAAGAGAAUUCGUGGAAUGUAUUUUUUUGUAAAUCGUGCGGGGGAAUCGCGCGUUCGAAUAUUACGUACGUAUGCAUCGGUAAAGAUUAAUUGGACUCUACGCGAUCGAUCACGCGCGAUUCGAGUUAUUCGGACGUCUGCGGGAUAAGGACACACGCCCGCGACACGUCGUACCGCGAUUUUUAUUCUUUCACCUUUGUUUGUUCGUUGUCCUUUAUUUGUUUUAUUUAUUUUUUUUUUUUUUUCUGGUUUUCGGUAGAGCGAUUGACACAACCGAGGGAUCUCCGAUGUCGCCUCCGGUCCGGAUCGGCGAGAUCUCGCGUCUAUGGGGAGACCAUCGAACGAUAAUAAUAAGAAGAAGUACCGUUGAUCGUUCGGUCGCCGAAAGCUCAGGAUCGCGACAAACCCCCCCCCCCCCCCCACCCCCCCGGGUAUAUAAAGCCGUUCACCUUUUAUCCCAGUAAUACCGCGUUCACCACUACCACGUUAACAUCGCGGUCGUCGACUACAUGCCCGCGAGAACUCGAAGAAGCUUCCUUAUCCGUACUUGAAGUACGUUUUCUCGCCUCCCUCCACUUCUCGCCGUCGUCCAAUCGAGUCACCGACGCAGUCGCUCCGGGCCCCCGUACUACACCGGGGUCCUGAUAAGCGCAGGGGUUCUCCGCUACCGCGCGUCUCUCCCGCGACGUUCGAUUCGCGAUAAAAUCGCCCCCCCAAACUUCCGGAAAACCGAUCGCGAAAUAUGGCGAAACGUUGCGAAACAUCAGCGAGUCAACUCGAGUCAUCCGGAGGGAUUCUCGGAAUUCCUCGCGUCGGGUCGAACGGAGCGACGAUACGUUCGCGUCGGCGGUCUCCCCGGUCAGGUGCGGAAAAGUUUUUCCGCCGCCACGGAUUUUACACCUGGGGAAUUAAUCCUCGCGUCUCCGAAGCGUUUGCACACGGUUUAUAUUGUACACCCCCCGGCCCCCGACGAAAUUUUCGAUCCUCUCGGGAUUAUCAGGCUGAAAUCCGCAGUCAAUCCGCGUGUCUAAACAUUGUACAAUAACUUUUCUAGUGCGACGGGAUUUGGAAGGAUUUGGUAUUGGCGGUCCUUUCUAUUGUGACAAUUUGAGCAUUGUCUACGAAGUGGUGCGGUACACCGUCCCGCAAUGCAGUUAAACUGCCGCGGGCCACACCCCUUUCUAAUCCACUCGAGCCGAUCCCUUUGGCACGGGGUGCGAAAACCCUUUCGACUAUUUCACAGAAGAAUUUACACCGAACAGAAGCUUAACCACCCCUUGACCCUUGUAAAUUUUCAACUGACUGGUGAACGGAACUUGUUACAAUAAAUCCAGCGUGAAAAUUAUCGGGAAAACUUGUUAUAACCGCACCGAUCCGCGCAACGUCAAUUCGCUAAUUCGUCGAUUUAUUGUACCCCCCCAACCACUAAUACGACGAUCGCCACGAUUCCGACAAUCAUUAUUUGUUUCAUCGAAUCGGACGAUUCGUCAAAUCGAACGUCGUAAUUUUUCUCAACGCUGUUGCGCUAGGGAUAGCACACGCUCACCGCGCGCAAAUGAGGGGAAACCGCACGAGGUACACGUGUCGGACGACGGGAGGUUACGGCCCGGUCUAUCGCUAUUGAGAAAUUCGAGAAAUGUGCAUAGACGGUGGUCGCGGUCGGUAUUCACCAGUUUUGCUAACAAUUUCGUUUGUCCAAGCAUUUUUCAGGGCUUACAUAAUUGACGAUGACGCCAGGAGAUACAAACGAUGCCCGUGCGCUAAUGGCUUCAAUAAUAGCGUCGCGUAGCAGAUAAUAUCGAAGAAAAAUUAUCUGGAUUACCUCGGUCAAAUGGAGUUUAUGACUAAUCGAUUUGCGAAUACGUUCGUGGUAUACGCACUAAUUUCCGACGUCCCCACCCCUCCCCCUCCCCCUCCGCCGCCCCUACUUUAUUUUUCGAAUUUCAUAAAUUUUCGACCUCACGCUCGCGGCGGCGGCUUGCGGUUUUCGCAGGGGAUAAGUUUUAGGGCUUCGGUAGCAGUUCUGCAAAUCUGGGCCACCUCGUAUCCCGUAAGCUGUGAAAAUUACGAAACGGUUACUUAUAGCGGUCACGAGUGUAACCGUAUUGUAUGUAGACCACCGGAAUCAAGCUGUAAGUAUAUCGCGACGAAGAUUCGAAGUAUUAAAAAAAUUGGAUGAAACCGGAGGGCCGAUUUUCUUCCUAUCCAACGUCGCACCGCGUAAUCGAUCGGAACCCGACACACCGAUCCGGACAAAUUCUAGAUGACAACGUCGAUCCGUACUAGAAAAAGGUUCGAGAAAUUUCUUGCGCACACGUGAAAACACGUACAGAGAACCUAUACCGCGAUGCAAUAAAAUUAAGGUGAAAGUUUCGUCGGAAGUUUUGUAAAACUCGCUUAGCGAAAUAAAUGGUAAAAAUUAUUUUAUUGGGUUCAAUUGGUCCCCGUGAGCCAAUAAAAUCAUUUACGAUCGGUUUUUCGUGAGAAAAUGAAGAAAAAAAAAAAAAAAAAGAAAAAAUGAGAUCGAAGACCGUGCGUACGUUUCGACAAUACAACGAUAAUCGUCGUAAAACCAGGACCGCAUUGUCCCAAAAGUCGGGCAUUUUUUUCAUCUAGACAAAAGCUCAAACAGCUGCGCGGCGCUGCGGCGUAUGCCGAAAAGUCGCUCCUAUUUCGCUCGACUCGCAAAUUAUAAAUGCAAAUGAAACGAUGACAAAUAAAAGAAAAAAAAGGUGAGAGAAAUUGUCGGUCGAGUUCGGAAGCUGGUCGGACGUGCGAUCGCGUGGAUUUUUUCGUUAAUGUUUCGUUGUUUUUUUUUUUUUUUUAAUUUUUUGUUUUUCUCUCUCCGUUCCGGGGAGGACGAAGAGGCGAGGAACGCAAAGUCGAACGUUUCCGUAAAACCCUCCCUUGGGGUUUCGGCAGCGGUUUAAAACCUCUGAAAAUCCUCCCCUGCCAAUUCCGUUGUGGCUCGAGUAGCGCCAAUGGAUGGGCUCCGCUGUCCAGGUAGAGGGGAGGGGGAGCAACACUUAAAGCGCUGCCUCUCGCCAGGAGCUGUCAGAGCUCUGUGGGGCACGGUCACACACAGCAGCUAGUUUCCGGUAGCGACUAUAUAUAUAUAUAUAUAUCUUUUCAUAUAGUAGCCGGCUUCACGAAUUCGCUCGAUCGAAUUAUACUCGUUUAAAGUAAUUUCGUUGAUAGAAAGCAAAAAAAAAAAACCAAGUUUGUUACAUCGCCGUACAUUAAAUGCGAAUAAGAUUUUUGCAAAAUUUUCGUUGCACGUAAACGGUAAUAAAAAAAAAAAAUCGUACGUACACUUACACGAUCGUACAUAUGUAUGUUGUAUGUAUAUUUUCUUGUUCCGUUCAUUAAACGUGUGCGACCGAGGCUUGAUGAAUUUAUAGAAAUUUUACCGAUAAAUUUUUGCAAAUUUUUACAAAAAAAAAAAACAAAAGCAAAAUAAA